Molecule: ribosomal RNA, 446 nt
Filed under: Fibrobacter succinogenes
Lineage: Bacteria; Pseudomonadati; Fibrobacterota; Fibrobacteria; Fibrobacterales; Fibrobacteraceae
Description: bacterial SSU rRNA
Rfam family: Bacterial small subunit ribosomal RNA
Source: RNAcentral
AUUGGUAUGGGAUGAGCUUGCGUCCGAUUAGCUAGUUGGCGGGGCAACGGCCCACCAAGGCGACGAUCGGUAGCCGGCCUGAGAGGGUGAUCGGCCACAUUGGGACUGAGAUACGGCCCAGACUCCUACGGGAGGCAGCAGUAGGGAAUAUUGCACAAUGGGGGAAACCCUGAUGCAGCAACGCCACGUGUGGGAAGAAGCAUUUCGGUGUGUAAACCACUGUCAUGAGGGAAUAAGGCCCGCCUUCGGACGGGAUUGAAUGUACCUUGAGAGGAAGCACCGGCAAACUUCGUGCCAGCAGCCGCGGUAAUACGAGGGGUGCAAGCGUUGUUCGGAAUUACUGGGCGUAAAGGGAGCGUAGGCGGAGAUUCAAGCGGAUUGUACAAUCCCGGGGCCCAACCCCGGCUCUGCAGUCCGAACUGGAUUUCUUGGAUAGUUCAGGGGCA